GUCAACUUGCCAGAGUGGUUAAUGGGUAUGACUCGAAUCUUCCUUCUGAAGGAACUUCUAGAUAUCAUAUGGUUUCGGCCGCGUAGGUUCAAAUCCUGCAGUUGACG
Molecule: non-coding RNA, 107 nt
Organism: Cadophora sp. M221
Lineage: Eukaryota; Fungi; Ascomycota; Leotiomycetes; Helotiales; Ploettnerulaceae
Source: the annotation of a GenBank genome assembly